This 620-nucleotide ribosomal RNA is filed under the name uncultured bacterium. RNAcentral describes it as "bacterial SSU rRNA". It matches the Rfam family "Bacterial small subunit ribosomal RNA", at positions 104 to 722 of the family's 1533-position model. The record is from RNAcentral.
GGGUGAGUAACGCGUAUCCAACCUUCCCCCUAGUAGGGCAUAGCCCGGCGAAAGUCGGAUUAAUACCCUAUGUUAUUCGUAGAGGACAUCUGAAAUGAAUCAAAGAUUUAUCGCUAGGGGAUGGGGAUGCGUCCGAUUAGCUUGCCGGCGGGGUAACGGCCCACCGGGGCGACGAUCGGUAGGGGUUCUGAGAGGAAGGUCCCCCACACUGGUACUGAGACACGGACCAGACUCCUACGGGAGGCAGCAGUGAGGAAUAUUGGUCAAUGGGCGAGAGCCUGAACCAGCCAAGUAGCGUGCAGGACGACGGCCCUAUGGGUUGUAAACUGCUUUUAUGCGGGGAUAAAGUUCACCACGUGUGGUGUUUUGUAGGUACCGCAUGAAUAAGGACCGGCUAAUUCCGUGCCAGCAGCCGCGGUAAUACGGAAGGUCCGGGCGUUAUCCGGAUUUAUUGGGUUUAAAGGGAGCGCAGGCGGGUUGUUAAGCGUGACGUGAAAUGUAGCCGCUCAACGGCUGCACUGCGUCGCGAACUGGCAGUCUUGAGUGAGUACGACGCGGACGGAAUUCGUGGUGUAGCGGUGAAAUGCUUAGAUAUCACGAAGAACCCCGAUUGCGAAGGC